Molecule: ribosomal RNA, 684 nt
Filed under: Campylobacteraceae bacterium 7F10
Lineage: Bacteria; Pseudomonadati; Campylobacterota; Epsilonproteobacteria; Campylobacterales; Campylobacteraceae
Description: bacterial SSU rRNA
Rfam family: Bacterial small subunit ribosomal RNA
Source: RNAcentral
AGUGAACGCUGGCGGCGUGCUUAACACAUGCAAGUCGAACGAGAACGGAUUAUAGCUUGCUAUAAUUGUCAGCUAAGUGGCGCACGGGUGAGUAAUAUAUAGGUAAUGUGCCCUAGAGAAGAGGAUAACAGAUGGAAACGUCUGCUAAGACUCUAUAUGCCUUUAAGACAAAAGUCUGCAAGGGAAAUAUUUAUAGCUCUAGGAUCAGCCUGUACAGUAUCAGCUAGUUGGUGAGGUAAUGGCUCACCAAGGCAAUGACGCUUAACUGGUUUGAGAGGAUGAUCAGUCACACUGGAACUGAGACACGGUCCAGACUCCUACGGGAGGCAGCAGUGGGGAAUAUUGCACAAUGGACGAAAGUCUGAUGCAGCAACGCCGCGUGGAGGAUGACACAUUUCGGUGCGUAAACUCCUUUUAUAUGGGAAGAUAAUGACGGUACCAUAUGAAUAAGCACCGGCUAACUCCGUGCCAGCAGCCGCGGUAAUACGGAGGGUGCAAGCGUUACUCGGAAUCACUGGGCGUAAAGAGCGUGUAGGCGGGUAUAUAAGUCAGAAGUGAAAUCCAAUAGCUUAACUAUUGAACUGCUUUUGAAACUGUAUACCUAGAAUGUGGGAGAGGUAGAUGGAAUUUCUGGUGUAGGGGUAAAAUCCGUAGAGAUCAGAAGGAAUACCGAUUGCGAAGGCG